UACGUAGGGUGCGAGCGUUGUCCGGAAUUAUUGGGCGUAAAGAGCUUGUAGGCGGUUUGUCGCGUCUGCCGUGAAAAUCCGGGGCUCAACCCCGGACUUGCGGUGGGUACGGGGCAGACUAGAGUGUGGUAGGGGAGACUGGAAUUCCUGGUGUAGCGGUGAAAUGCGCAGAUAUCAGGAGGAACACCGAUGGCGAAGGCAGGUCUCUGGGCCACUACUGACGUGAGAAGCGAAAGCGUGGGGAGCGAACAGG
This 253-nucleotide ribosomal RNA is filed under the name uncultured bacterium. Its description in RNAcentral is "partial 16S ribosomal RNA". It matches the Rfam family "Bacterial small subunit ribosomal RNA", at positions 524 to 776 of the family's 1533-position model. The record is from RNAcentral.